This 468-nucleotide ribosomal RNA is filed under the name uncultured bacterium. RNAcentral's name for it is "partial 16S ribosomal RNA". It matches the Rfam family "Bacterial small subunit ribosomal RNA", at positions 28 to 507 of the family's 1533-position model. The record is from RNAcentral.
GACGAACGCUGGCGGCGUGCUUAACACAUGCAAGUCGAACGGAAAGGCCCUGCUUUUGUGGGGUGCUCGAGUGGCGAACGGGUGAGUAACACGUGAGUAACCUGCCCUUGACUUUGGGAUAACUUCAGGAAACUGGGGCUAAUACCGGAUAGGAGCUCCUGCUGCAUGGUGGGGGUUGGAAAGUUUCGGCGGUUGGGGAUGGACUCGCGGCUUAUCAGCUUGUUGGUGGGGUAGUGGCUUACCAAGGCUUUGACGGGUAGCCGGCCUGAGAGGGUGACCGGCCACAUUGGGACUGAGAUACGGCCCAGGCUCCUACGGGAGGCGGCAGUGGGGAAUAUUGCACAAUGGGCGGAAGCCUGAUGCAGCAACGCCGCGUGCGGGAUGACGGCCUUCGGGUUGUAAACCGCUUUCGCCUGUGACGAAGCGUGAGUGACGGUAAUGGGUAAAGAAGCACCGGCUAACUACGUG